This 481-nucleotide ribosomal RNA is filed under the name uncultured bacterium. RNAcentral's name for it is "partial 16S ribosomal RNA". It matches the Rfam family "Bacterial small subunit ribosomal RNA", at positions 28 to 507 of the family's 1533-position model. The record is from RNAcentral.
GACGAACGUUGGCGGCGUGCUUAAUACAUGCAAGUCCACUGAAGCAGUGGUAGCAAUAUCGCUGUGGAGGUGGCGCACGGGUGAGUAACACGUAGGUAAUCUGCCUUCAGGUCUGGCAUAACUCCGGGAAACCGGGGCUAAUAGCAGAUGAUGCAGCGGCUCGACAUCGAGACAGUUGUUAAAGCUAUGGCGCCUGAAGAUGAGCCUGCGUCUGAUUAGCUAGUUGGCGGGGUAACGGCCCACCAAGGCAACGAUCAGUAGCUGGUCUGAGAGGAUGAUCAGCCACACUGGAACGGAGACACGGUCCAGACUCCUACGGGAGGCAGCAGUAAGGAAUAUUGCUCAAUGGGAGAAAUCCUGAAGCAGCAACGCCGCGUGAGGGACGAAGGGCUUUUGCUUGUAAACCUCUGUAGUGAGAGAAAAAAAUCCCAAUCUUUGGGACAUGAUGGUAUCUCAAAAGUAAGCCCCGGCUAACUACGUG